Molecule: long non-coding RNA, 622 nt
Filed under: Mytilus galloprovincialis (Mediterranean mussel)
Lineage: Eukaryota; Metazoa; Mollusca; Bivalvia; Mytilida; Mytilidae
Source: RNAcentral
UUUAUAAACAAUCCCCACCCCUCUUGUUUAAUAAUAAAUUUUUGACUGAAGUUAAGGACUUUAAAUUUCUAGGGAAUAUUAUUAACUAUAGGGGAAAUUUUACAAAAACUACUGAAGAGCUGUCUAAAAAAGGCAUUAAAGUUUUAUUUUUAUUGAGAAAAUAUAUGUCCAAUUUUAAUUUUGUUCCCACUAAUUUGUCAUGUAAAUUAUUUGAUACUCUUAUAAGACCUAUUUUGACAUACAACUCUGAGAUUUGGUUUAUGGAUAAUUUUCAGUCAGCUUAUAGGGUAUCUAAUAGAGCUGCAGUAAAUAAUACAUUUUGUGAUACUCUUGCAUUAGCAGAAAAAUAUCCCUUUGAGAAGGUUCAUUCUAAAUUUUGUAAAGCAGUAUUAGGAUUGAAAAAGACAGCCACUAACAUAGGUGCUAGAUCAGAAUUAGGUAGAUUUACUUUGGACUCCUAUAUAAAAACUCAAACACUCAUGUAUUUUUAUAGAAUAAAUUGUAAUGAUAUUAAUCCCCUGGUUAAAGAAUCUCUACAAACAAACAUAAAUUUACAUUCAGAAGGAAUUUAUUCUUGGUACUCUUUUGCAGAUAAAAUUUUUAAAGAAAUGAAAAUAAACCC